This 252-nucleotide ribosomal RNA is filed under the name uncultured bacterium. RNAcentral's name for it is "partial 16S ribosomal RNA". It matches the Rfam family "Bacterial small subunit ribosomal RNA", at positions 524 to 776 of the family's 1533-position model. The record is from RNAcentral.
UACGAAGGGAGUGAGCGUUGUUCGGAAUCACUGGGCUUAAAGCGUGCGUAGGCGGAUAUGUAAGUCAGAAGUGAAAUCCCGGGGCUUAACCCCGGAACUGCUUUUGAGACUGCAUAUCUAGAAUUCGGUAGAGGUUAAUGGAAUAUCCAGUGUAGAGGUGAAAUUCGCAGAUAUUGGAUGGAACACCAGUGGCGAAGGCGAUUAACUGGGCCGACAUGACGCUGAGGCACGAAAGCGUGGGGAGCAAACAGG